UACGAAGGGGGCUAGCGUUGCUCGGAAUUACUGGGCGUAAAGCGCACGUAGGCGGCUUUGUAAGUUGGAGGUGAAAGCCCGGGGCUCAACCCCGGAAUUGCCUUUAAGACUGCAUCGCUUGAAUCCGGGAGAGGUGAGUGGAAUUCCGAGUGUAGAGGUGAAAUUCGUAGAUAUUCGGAAGAACACCAGUGGCGAAGGCGGCUCACUGGACCGGUAUUGACGCUGAGGUGCGAAAGCGUGGGGAGCAAACAGG
This 253-nucleotide ribosomal RNA is filed under the name uncultured bacterium. RNAcentral describes it as "partial 16S ribosomal RNA". It matches the Rfam family "Bacterial small subunit ribosomal RNA", at positions 524 to 776 of the family's 1533-position model. The record is from RNAcentral.